AUUGAACGCUGGCGGCAGGCCUAACACAUGCAAGUCGAGCGAGCGGCGGACGGGUGAGUAUUGUAUGGGGACUGCCCGCUAGAGGGGGAUAACUACUGGAAACGGUAGCUAAUACAGCACACCAUAGGAUAACCCCUAUGGGAUUAUCUAGUAGGUGGGGUAAUGGCUCACCUAGGCGACGCUCCCUAGCUGGUCUGAGAGGAUGAUCAGCCACACUGGGACUGAGACACGGCCCAGACUCCUACGGAGGCAGCAGUGGGGAAUAUUGCACAAUGGGCGCAAGCCUGAUGCAGCCAUGCCGCGUGUAUGAAGAAGGCCCUAGGGUUGUAAAGUACUUUCAGUCGGGAGGCGUUACCGACAGAAGAAGCACCGGCUAACUCCGUGCCAGCCGCCGCGGUAAUUC
Molecule: ribosomal RNA, 403 nt
Filed under: uncultured bacterium
Lineage: Bacteria
Description: partial 16S ribosomal RNA
Rfam family: Bacterial small subunit ribosomal RNA
Source: RNAcentral